GCCAGAUCAUGUUGAAACGCCGGUUCUCGUACAAUCACUGAAGUUAAGCAACGUCGAGCUUGGUCAGUACUCAGAUGGGUAACCGUUUGGGAAUACCAGGU
This 101-nucleotide ribosomal RNA is filed under the name Acanthosepion pharaonis. The record is from RNAcentral. Lineage: Eukaryota; Metazoa; Mollusca; Cephalopoda; Sepiida; Sepiidae.